RNAcentral lists this long non-coding RNA (12155 nucleotides) under Brassica napus (rape). RNAcentral describes it as "long non-coding RNA (BNAP_LNC002574)". The record is from RNAcentral. Lineage: Eukaryota; Viridiplantae; Streptophyta; Magnoliopsida; Brassicales; Brassicaceae.
CUUCAUGCGCAUCAAAGCUCUUCCAGCCUCUUCCUUUGCCUUGGUUUCAACAAUACCACGUGCAUAGUUCUCAAGGUCAGUGAGCAUUUUAUUCCGUGUUUCUUCGUCCAUGUCGAAUCCAGAUAAUGCGUCGGAGAGACCAUAGACAGCCAAUUCUCCUUCUCGUUUUAGUAGCUUUCUUAUUGCUGGCCAUGUUUCAUCAUUGGCACCAUCCAGAAGAGCUUCCACUGGUCCAGAUAAUGCUGCAUUUAGUUUUGACUGCAAUGACGAUUAUUUAUUAGGAAGCUCCAGACAGCAGUUGACACCUGCUUUGUGGUAGAUUAUCCAGAUCAAUAUGUAUGUCUUUAUUCUGCUUAAGAAUUCUAUUUACCUCAUACAGAGUAGUCAGUUCAGACAACUUUGCAGUACGGACAGAAGAGAUAUGGGCUUCAAUGUCACGCUGAAGCUUUUCCCGAGUUUUGGAUAUAUCCCAGUUUGCUUGUUCAAUAACAGCCUCUGCCAAAGAAAAACCAUUUAGUAUUUAUUUCGUAUGAUAAUCUUCAGAUUCCAAUAUGUUAUCCUAUAUAUCACAAUAUUUUCAGUAGUAACAUCAACGCUAGGCUAUACCUUCACAUCCUUUAUCAAACUUAGACACGCAAGACUGAGCGCAAACAUCCGCUGAUGCUGAAAAGGCUUCACCCGCAUUUAACGCCUUCUCAAAAGCAUCCUUGAAGUUUUCAAGUGCUCCAGAUCUCAAAUGUCCAAGCAGGUCUUGGAAAGUUGGUUGAACAAGCUGCAUAGGACAGUAAAUAAAUGAGUGCCUAAUACCAGGUCUCUAAUUCUUUACAACUAUGUGAGUCUCUCUGAAUGUUUCCAGGUGACACAGUGAUUGCAGCAAAGCACAAGUUAAGAGUAUAUGCAUUACUUGCAAUAAUUUUUCUUGCAGCUGUUGUCUCUUGGAUGAUCUUACACCUUCUUCAAAGUAUGUCGCCUCUGUGUCAUACCUACAACAAACAUCAGGACAAGCAUGAAAAGGAAACUCCUAUUGUUCUAUACUCUAAUGUAUGCAUAAGAAACCUCAAAUUCAAUAAAGUCGGCAUACAAGAAAACUGUAUAGGACAAUUAAGCACGAAAAUCUUACUCUGAUAAGCAAGACUGGAGGAUUGAGCUCAGCUUUUUUCCAAAUCCAGACACAGGACCAGAAUGUACAGCUUCUUCCAAUUCACGCCAAUUCUAUACAAUGUUUAGACAUAAAUAUUAACGACAAAGUCGCUGAAAAGGCUAAAACGUGAAGCAGUAUAAAGAAAAUUCACCUCAUUCGCAAUAAAACCAGCAAACUUUUCAUUGGCAAUUUCCUCGCAUCGCACAGUUGCUACCAUGACCUGCGCGCAUAGGCAUCGCAUAAAUAACAAGACUAGAAGGAACAGUAACAAAACUAGAGCCUGUAGCAAGCAAAAUUACCUUGUGAGCCGGAAGGUCCAAGUCUUUGUUGUCUUUGAUGACUUGCCACAUCUGUUUUGCGCUAAAAGCAAACGCAUUGGCAGGGACAACUCCUCGUCUAUCACCAGCAAGUCCGCCAGGUGCAAUAAUGUAAAUUCAAUCAACGAAAUUAUGAUAUACUCAUUACAUUUGGUCGCAAAAGAGAAACUGGGUCCCACGUGGGCAUUUAGAGACAUUGAUGUAUGGCUGGACAAUAAUAGGACCCACACAAAAGCCCAAUUUUUAGUGGGAUCCACUUAGCCGCCUCUUCGCCUUUGUAAAAGUUGGACGGUGGUGUGAUCUAAUCUAGGCGGCUCCGGCAUAGCGACAACGUGGAAGUUCCACCGUCCGAUUACUUCUCGUUAACCACUGUGAUGGUUCCAUUUCUUGAUCCUAGCAAAAGAAGAGUGAUACUAAGUUCUUAUAAAAUGGUCAAGCAAACGUACAUUGAAGAAAUCACUAAGAGGAGUUUCUUUGUGUGCUUGAGGCUUGGGGACUGCAUCCCAGAUCUGCAUGUAUGAACAAUAUAUAAGGAAUUGCAUAGUCAAAGCACAUAAAAGCUAAAGACCGUCUCUUAUUUUACCUUUUGAAUGUCUUCCCUUAGCACUGGUUCUAAAUUUUCCAAUGGCGUCUGCAAAUAUUCAUUCACAACUUAUACUCCAGAAAAUAGAAUGAUGAAGAAGAGAAAACAGAAAAUGCAAGCUACCACUUGCUAAGUGGAAAAAUACAAAUACAUACCCGUGUUUUAUCUCUUAUGACAAACAUCAAAGUCGUUUUCCGCGGACUAAACAACCUCAUCAUAACCUGAUCGCAUGUAGCAGGAAAAGCAAAGAGUGUUGAGACUUCAGAUCAGCAAUAACUCAUCCUGAUAAGAAGAUGCAGACAAUUUACCUGGAACACAGUCUUCAAAAGAGGUUUGUUUGCUGCUUGCUCCCGACCAAUAUCAUGACACCACCUGCAUUAUACAUCCAAGAACCAGUAUGUUAUAAGAUAAAGUCAGAAAAAGAAUGUUCUGCUAUCUAUCGAAGAAAGUAGAGCACAGAAGACAACUUACAUGUUUAUGAGAACUAUGUCUGAGACAGCAAGUGCAAAAAGAGCACUCUGUUUUUCGAAAGCAGUAUCAUCCUAACAGCCAAAUACAAGGAAACUGUACGUAAGUAAGCCAUUCUAUACUAAAACACUCUAUUUAAGAAAUAAAUUUUUUUGUGUGUGCUCAUUAAGAUUGACACUGCGCAUGAAACCAAGCUAAGACUCUAAUCAAUACAAGUCAAGGUUCAUUGAAGUUAUUCACAAUCAGUGCCAAAGCUCAAAAGAAGAUUAUACUAACUGGUGUUCGAUAAAAAAAAAAGUAAAGGACCGAGGGUACACACCUCUCCACGCUCUCUCCCAUCGGUACCCUACAAAUCCAUCACAACGGUGCAAGGCUCAAUACCAGCGCAUCUAGCAAUCCAGAUACCCUUAGUCGUCUGGGAUCUGAAAACAAGGAAAUUCAAGGGUUGAAGAAUCUUAAAUUAUAAGCCAACUGUUCUUCCCACAAAGUAUACAAAGAGCAGGACAUACCUUCCUCUAAAAGCAUCCAUUUCCCUAAAGUUCGUUCCAAACAAAUGAUUCAAGAGGGUACUCUUCCCUGCAAAUCCAACCACAAUCACUUCAAAAUCAGCCCCAAACACAUGGAUCCAGAAGAAUCAAAAGCUUUUGCACUACAUACCACUACUCUGAGGACCCAUGAUCGAGACAACCGCAUAAGAAAGGCCACAUUCUUCCAGCUUAACCUCCUUGAUAAAAUUAUCAACCCCAGAGACAUUAAAGGUACCAUCUCCAUCAAUAAGCUGAGUAGAGCAAGCGGCAUCUGCACAUAUCACAAUACAAUAAAGAGGACAUCAAAUCAGAUCCUUUGUACAUGUCAGCUCAAGGAGCCUCUGAACAAAGCAAACUGAAUCUGACAUAACUACUUCAAAGUCUUAGACUUUUCAUUAAACCCAGAAUCCUUACUAAUCUCACAAAAACCCAAACCAAAUUUCAGAUUUUUUUCAGUUAUAAGAUUCCAUAUUUGGACAGUAAUCAAGCAAAUCCAACCUCUUUAUAAUCAAUCAUAGACACUCAGAAGACAGAAGAAUCAAAUCAUCAAACACCUUAUGAGCAAAGAGAUUUACAAACAGAUAGAGAUCACAAAACCUAAAUCAAAGAGCUUACAAAAGAAACUGAAAUCGAAAACGAAUAACGCUUGGAUCAGGAAAAAAAACGAAAACUGAUCAGAUCAAAAAAGAAAAACGGAUCCACGAGAUCAGGAACAUUUAUGGAGCAGAGAGAUGUGUAUGUGAAAUACCCAUUGUCGCACAAGGAUGCCUCAGAGAGAGUGAUGAAUGAGAAGAAGAAAGGAGAGAGAGAUCUCAAGAGGGGAAGUCGAGAGCUUUGAUGCACAGCUGCUGCUUUAAGACGACUGGUUCUGGUGGUAAGGUCAUACAACCUUCUUUCUUUUAUUUGACAACCAACAAAAAAAAAUGCCAAAAAGUGAUUAUUUUUUAAUUCCCAACGAUUUUAUUUCGCUUACCCCAAUAUUCACCGAUAAAUAUAUGAUUUUAAGCCAUUUACCGAUUAAUUAUAAGUUUUUUUUUUGAGAAAGGAGUUGAUUAAUUAUAAGUUUAGGUCCAAUUAACUUUUUUCUUCAAUUAAUAAAUUUUUUCCGUUUCAAAAAUAAGUAAUAUUUUAAAAUAUUUUUAUUAAAUUUGUAUUAAGUGAUAAUAGUAAAUUGUAAAAAAAAUUAAAAUGAAUUGUAUUUACUAGAUUAUGAUCGGUUAAAACUGUAAAAAUAAUAAAUGAUUAAAUUAAUAUAUUUAUAAUUAAAAUUUGAAUAUUUUUAAUAGGUGUGAAAAUUUUAAAAUAUAUACUACUAUUCUAAAACAGAAAAAUGUCAACUACAAAAAUAUCAAUAGAGCAUAUCUGAUCAUUUUAAUUUAUUAAUAAUAUCCUAGUUUGAGGCAAACAAUAUUUUUCAGGUAAAAGAUCACUAAAGAAUAAUAAUAAUGUAAAUUCAAUCAACGAAAUUAUGAUAUACUCAUUACAUUUGGUCGCAAAAGAGAAACUGGGUCCCACGUGGGCAUUUAGAGACAUUGAUGUAUGGCUGGACAAUAAUAGGACCCACACAAAAGCCCAAUUUUUGGUGGGAUCCACUUAGCCGCCUCUUCGCCUUUGUAAAAGUUGGACGGUGGUGUGAUCUAAUCUAGGCGGCUCCGGCAUAGCGACAACGUGGAAGUUCCACCGUCCGAUUACUUCUCGUUAACCACUGUGAUGGUCAGAUAUAUAGCCGUCAUUUUUUUUAACGUCAAACAUCGACAGUUUUUUCUAAUGUCAUUUUCUUGAGUUACGAGCCAAGUUUAAAAUGAGGCCAAAAAUAGGCCCAUAUUAGAGAAAAAAACCCGCAUCCACAAAGACCUUAUAAUAUCUUGAUAAAUUACAAUAUGUUUAUUUAUAAAUUGGGCCUUACGGCCCAAAGCCCAUGUAGAUUUCCUCUUCCAAGAGAGAGAGAGAGAGAGUGAGCUCAGGGAAGCAAUCGCCAGUCUCGGAGAAGGGGGAGAAGACAAUGGCUGCCAAAACCCUAAUCAGGUCGGGAGCUUCGCUAAUGAAUCGGUUUCUAUCAAAGCCUACGACGACUCUUGUGCAGAACAAUCUCAGAUCGUUUCAGCAGAUAGCUCCUCAGCGACAAGAACUCCCGCCGUGUUUUUUGUUCCCGUCGUUGACGAAUCUACAAAACAAGCUUAACCCGCGCGUUAACGACACUGUUACGCUUCAGGAGCUAACGGAACGUGGGUUUCUUCACCCAUCUGGUCUUCCUUCACUCGAGUUCUUCUUACCAGAAGGUUUACUUCUCUGCUCUCUUACCUCCAUUUGAGUGUUCAUAUCGUUAGCUCAGACUGGUAAUUAGCAAUAACUCCUAAGGUAUAUGAUGAUUUGAGUAUUAGUCUGGUGCUGAUCAGUGUUCUGUUUUCUAAAGAUUUGAUCUUUGAGUGCUUACACAGUUGAAAAAAAAAAGAUUAAAGACAGAACCUUUAUUUGGUUUUUUUUUUUUUUACGGUUUGGUGUUCUGUUUUUUUUUCUUUUUUGAAACGGGUUGUAAAGUGCUUGUAGGAGGGUGAUGAAUCUGGCUAUGUUGUGCAGAGUUUCAUAUAGUGCUUAUAAUCUUGAGAAUUUCAGUCUGCUGUUUAUUGAGCUUUAGCGCGUUGCAACGUCGCACAUCUUGCUGCUCUGUGGUACUAUGCUAUGUUGUGGGAGAGUUGCAUAUAGUGCAUGUUCAGUAUGUUGUUUAUUGAGCUUUAGUGACUUUACAUUUUGUUACUCUACGGUGCCUGCUUAAUAUCUUUGUACUUUGGUGAUGUAGUCGAUCCUUCAAGUGAGCCGUUGCUUUUAUUUCCCAAGAGGACGUUCCAGCCUAGUACUAUCAGGCGCAAACGUAACCACGGAUUCUUUGCUCGGUAUGUCUCUUUGUAUUAAACCUCCUUGUUUCAGUCCAAGAAUAGAGUCAAAUCUUUGCUCUUUCUCGUUCGUAUUAGAGGAAUUUGUUGAUUUAGCACUAAUGGAAAGUAAGAAGAGGAUUGUUUGUUCGUUUGUACAUGGUGCUUGAGCGACCAAACUGUUUACUCAAUUGAUUAGUGAAUGUCUUGAAUAUGAGCAGAAAAGCAACCAAAGGUGGACGGAGAGUCAUAGCUCGGAGAAUAGCAAAAGGGCGUCACAGAGUCACUGCCUAGAGUCCCUCUUUAAUCUUUUCUAUGAAUCUCCAGCUAUCAGAUAGGCCGGCUACGUCUCUUUCCUUACAGGCUAGAAAAUCUGAAACUUGGAUCUCAUAAAUACCUUGGAUGUAUCAAUAUCCAUGUUUUGACGUGUUGUUUUGGAUCUUGGAGUCGAGGUGGAGUUAAAGAUCUCAGCAUCUUUUAUUUUCUAACAAUCUCUAACUCCUUUUGAAUGGUUACUUUACAUCAAGGAAUAAGUUUUUCUACAUGAUGCUUAAUUACGUACAUAUAUGAGUUCAUUAUUUGUGUAUAGGUAUAGUAGCCUUAUCCAACAAAGUCACACGGCUAUAACCUAUGAAGAACUAACAACAUUUAUGAAAUAUAAACAGUUGUAUGGUAUAUUUGAACCAAAAAAAAACAGUUGUAUGGUAUAUGACACAUAAUACAGCAGUAACACUUGCUAUCAUAUUUAUAAAAUUAAACUUGAUUAGUGUGGAAAUUUGAUCUAUAACUGAUGUGAAACUAUGAUGCAAACGAGGCCAUAGAGCUGAGGAAUGGCUCUGCAGUCUAUGCAAAACAAAAGAAAGAAAAUAGGAAAGUCUCUCUCUCACUCUUAUUUUUAUCUGUUUUCUUCUGAUUUCUGACUCAAACAUUUACUUCAUGUAGAGGAAAGAGAUUCAAUUAAUGAGUUGUAGAAUCCCAAAGAUUAAAAAAACCUGAGAGAAAAGAAAAGGCAAGAGCUGAUAGAUUGGUAAAGAAAAUAACUUCACUUGUCCCAUAAGCAACACCCUUGCCUAUGUUGUAGGCACUACUAGGCCUAAGACCAUCAUUAUCCCUAUAACCCCAUUUGGGUUUCUUAAUGACUUAUUUAAUAAUAAAAGUUAGUUAAGAAAUUUAAUUAAGAAACCCAUAGAUUUUGUGCUCCAUUGGAAGUUUCUCAAUGAAGGGUUCUUAAAAAAAAAUAAAGAAGGAAUGUAGAUGAUUUUAUAUAGAGAAGGAGAGAAUUUGUUUUACACUUGUUUGGAGAAGAGUUUUAAAAACAAUACUUUCACUACAAGAUACACUACAACCAGAAUAGACAUUCACUAAUGAUCCUCUAGUUCAUAAGAUCAAGCACAAGAAAUAGAAGUCAUACUACAUACCGGCAACAGAGAUCUGAGUAACGUCUAUAGCACUAACGCAUAUCCAUUUUGCAGCCUCAGUGCCAAAAGCUACUAGGAGAGACUGAAGGCCCAUUGCUCUGUCUCCUUCAACACUUUUGAAGUUAUAAACAAUCGCUAUUCCCAACUGCAAAUAAAUGUAUUGAUAAGUGCUAAACUCCAAAACACCGCUGGAAUGUAUAUAUAGAGCUUACCUUAAGAGGUGGAGCAGAGUAUAUAUAAGAUAACAAGGACCCUCCCAAAGCAAGAUAGAACAAAGCGGGAGUGGUAUGCCCUGCAUGUAAAAGGGAAGGUUUUAGCAAUUUUGAUGUAAGCUUUUAACUGUACUUGUUACAUCAAAAACCACCAACAUAAUGCAGACCACUACCACGAGAUGCUCCCAAUGCUCCACUCUGUGAUGAAUCUCUCAAUGCUCCCACUACAAGACAUAACACAAGCAUUAUCAGUCUGUGACAUAGAAAAGCACAAGACAUUACUCAAGCACAAGACAUUAUUUAAAAAAGACUAGAGAAAAAAACAUUGGCGUGGAGAGAAAAAGAAGAAGAAGAAGACAGACUGUAGCAAUAGUAUUUCCUCUCUUCUUCUCUUCGGGAGCUUUAUCAAUUUCAUCAAAGGCAAUAGCUUUAGCUUUUCUCUCUUCAGCAAGAACCUAAACAAUAAGUAGAAUCCCUAUAUCAACUUGGAAAAAAAAGCCUUUCCUUUAAUUAGAAACGCUCAUCACGUGUUUAAAAAAGGCAUCACCUUUGUGAUUGCAGCAGUCAAAGCAGUCUUCCCGUGAUCUACAUGCCCAAUUGUGGUUUACUGCAACAAAUAACACAACUAUUACAAAAAGAAAAACAGAGAAAAGUCAUGAUCCAUAUCUCUUUAACCAAUUUCAAAUCAAUGAAAUGAAAAAAAAAUAGAAAGAAACUCAAUUUCGAGUAAAAGUGGCCAUUGAUCUCCACAGAGAACCUCUGAAACUUGAAGAAGGAGAGAGAUCGAGAAGCCAUUGUCGUUUGCAGAAAGAGAAGACGAGAAAGAAGAAAAAAAAAUGCCUCAUUAUUUAGUUUGCUGACACGUGGGUUGAAAACCCCCUUUGUAAUCGGUUACAGAAAUCCUAUAUUAAGGAUCGAUAACAACAAUUUUUUUGAGUUUUGAUUUAAUUAAAUGCUUCAAUAUUUUUAGAAACCCUCUUAAAAGCCCCCGUUAAUGGUGCUCUAAACCCCUCUAAAACCCACAAAGCUUCUUUAAAUCUCCGUAUCCUUCUUCUUCCUCUUUACCUCUUCAGGCCUUUAUAAAGCCAUCAUCACCAUCAUAAGUCAUCUUCAUCAUGAGAAUGGGAGAAAUAAGAAAGUGGUAUGUGGCUAUAAUGGCGAUGGUACAAAUAGUGAGCUGGGUGUCUGCAACAAGCAGGCACAUUGCUUCUACUCAAGUUUCUUUUCAUCCAGGUUUGAGUGUUUCUUUAAUUUUAUCUUUCUGAGUAUACUAAUCAACCCCAUUACUAUGUAUAUAUAUGCAUAUAAUGAUAAGCAGACAUGUGGAUAUUUAAAUGGUGGGAACAAUACCCUAUUUAGUUUCUAUUUGUAACUCGCUUUUGCAGUCUGAUAGCGCUUCAGGAGGUAGACCACUUGUCUCUGAACCAAACAAGAGGUAAUCUCCUCUUCUGUAAGAAAAUUCCUGCAUCAAACAAGUUCUGACAGUUGAGGACAAAAGCAUUCUCUCUUGACGCUGCUCAGACAUGCAAUGGACUCAUUUCAUUUUAGGAAUAUCAAUUCAACUUUUUCUAACCAUUUUUUUCAGCUACCUAAUUUCAAAGUGGCUGUUGCUAACAAACGCAGUGAGGUCUAGGGGUCACGCAACUUACUGAAUGUAUCUUUGUUCCUCUUUUGGUGAAAGCUAUCAUCCGUUUCUCUCCCUCCUAAGACAAACAUAGACAUAACAAGUCAGACAUCAUAUCCAGGGAACUGAAAUUAGAAGUGUUGAGGUGAUGGAGAAACCUGUUGCCUGAAAUAUUCUUGAAACUCAGCCCAUGAGCUGUGCGCUUUGACAACCACAAAGCUAAAUGCUUUAAGUUAAGGGGCAUGAAUCUCACAACCUCUUUAAACUUUUAAUAAUAACAUAUGAGAUGCUUAUGCAAGGGAAGUAAACCAACAAAACUAAAAAUAGGUGAGGGAUACGGCCAAUAGUCCAAACCAGCUCGCUUUACUUUGGCGUCAUCCACUUGAAAACCUAAUGGCUGAAGCAGGAUGGAUCAGAUGAACACUUGGAAACAAUGAAUCAACUAAUAUAAGGAGAUAACAUGAAUGUACCCCAACUAAAUGCAGACCAACAGCUGAAGCUGCACAUGUUCUUGCAAUGCAACCUGUGUUUCCAGGAAUCUGUCAAAUGAAGGAGACACGAGUAGAUAUCUAUAUAAGCCACUACAAGUUUCUGAAGACGCCACUACCAAACCAAAACAAUGCAGUAGUAACGUUUAUUUGUUCGUAUUGUUUUAAUGAUUGAGCGUAACCUGGGGAGAGACCAAUACUACUUGAAGAAGCUUACUCCUCGCAUCUUCUUUAACUCCUUCUCCUGCCCCACGCGGCAGGGCAUUACUUCUCUUGUCCUUGUCCGAGAGAGGAGGAGGAGACAGAAUCUUGGAGGAAAAUGAAGUGAUGGAGAGAGACAGCUUGCGCUUGAGGUUGAGAUGAGUUAAGCCAAGAGAAGGCAAGAGACGGUCACUUGACUGGUGCCGGAGAUGAAACGGCCUUGAAGCUAUAAAGAAGCUCAGACUGCUCCGGCCGCAACUCCCCAUUCUUCCCAGCCAACCUACUUCCUUCCUUCCUUCCUCCGCAGAUAUUGUUUCAGCACGCUUUGAAAAUAAUAUCAUUUGGGCCUAAAUUGUCAAUAUCUAGGCCCAUUUAUUAUUCAGACCAUUCCUCAUGCCUGGUCUGAUCUCAUGCCUAGUUCAUGUCGGAGACCAAUCUUUAAUGUUUCAACUUAAAAACAGAGUGAAAUGACUUGCAUUACCAUAAAAAUGAGAAACUGAUACUCUCUUCAAUCAACAAACCAAUCUUUUAAGUUUCACCAUUCUUUCAUCAGAUACAAUAAACCACAUUAAUACAGAACUCGCAAACAAACCAUGACUAUAUUUUUUUUGUCUGCAUCAUGUCUAGGAACAUACAAGAUAGGCACCAAUGCCUUAAGAGACAUAAACAUAUGGCCCUCGGUGAACCCCUCUGAUCAACACCAAAAUUGAGAGCUAUCCUUUUGUAAGGGUACCGAAAUUUAAAGUGUCUAGGUUCGUGGACUCGGACAAACAACAGCUUAAGCUUGUCUAGUUCUUUGUUCUAUGAACUUGUGUCAAUGGGAACAGAUUUUGCCGGAGAAGAACCAGAGCUGCUGCUGCUACUGCUUUCUCCAUUGGUUGUAACAUCGGAUUGAGCUGAAGCUGAGGAGUUCAUAGAACUCUGGUUGGUAUUUGUGGAUGGUGCUUGUCCUUCUUCAGCGAGUUUCUUAAGGAGGUUCAUGACCGUUGGAAGGAACUUGGUUGACAAGGAAAGAAGUCCAGGUAGCUGUUAUUGAUCACAGAUGAAACAUUGGCUUUUCAGAGACAUUAUAAAUGAGAAUAAUUUGAAGAACAGUGGCAAUACGGAUGUUGGAAACUUGCUCAUACCGCUCCAUGUUGGAAUUCUCCUGAAAUAUUUAACUGCACCCACAAGGCUUUGGAAACAAGGUAUCCAACGAACAGAACACCGAGCCACAGAGGAUUUCUGCCACAAGAGAAGCAAGGAAAGAAGAGAAAGGUGAGUGGGGAGAAUCUCCUUGAUCUGAAAAACAAACUCAAUUCAAAAGAAUGGGUAAAGAGUACCUUAAUAGAGUCAUAAACUCAUUAAAUCCAAGAACUACCAGGGCAAGGAUUGCCCAUGGAGGUGGCAACCAGUUGUUAUUCCGUCGGUUAGCUUCCUGAAAUUCAAUGUUACCAUAUGAGAAAAUAGAGAGUUCUAAUAGCAUAUCUUUUUAACUUUUAAUAAGCGUACCUGUGCAGAAAUAGCCUGUGUAACGGUAUAUUCUGUCUCGUUUUUGAAUUGUCUCCACAGUGAUUUACACUGUACAGGUGUGAUCAACGUCUUUUCUGGUGCAACCUGAUAAAAAAGAAGGUAAGGAUAUAUAAGACCAUUUGUGUUUUCAUUAUAAAUGCUGAGUGAGGUUUUAGUCACCUGCUCCCAAGUGCUUGAAGCGAGUGAAUCAAUUGUGCUGAUGCUCUUGCUGGUAGCACUGUUACUUGUAGAAUUGACCAGAGCGAGAGUCAGUGUCUUCUCAAUAUUGUCGAGCUCAUCUUCCAAGCGGAUAACAGCCAUAACAGACAGUAGCUUCAAGGACUACAAAAAAGAUAACAAGGUUGUAACGUCAAAAUCUGGAAAAAGUUUGAUCGAGUCACAGAAUCGGAGCUAUAAGGCAGGGUUCAUACAGCAGAACGAGCCAUUUUGGUGAUUGCUCUGAUAUCCUCCUUUCCAGUCCAAAUACGUGGCAUUGAAUCAGAAUCAUGGCUGAAGAUUGUAGUAAAUCUGGAUAGAAAAUUGUUUAAUCAGAAAGCUGUGUAAGAGAUGGAAGUGGUGUAUAAUAACAAAACUAGUAUGAUGGUGUCACCUAUCCUUCAUGCGCAUCAAAGCUCUUCCAGCCUCUUCCUUUGCCUUGGUUUCAACAAUACCACGUGCAUAGUUCUCAAGGUCAGUGAGCAUUUUAUUCCGUGUUUCUUCGUCCAUGUUGAAUCCAGAUAGUGCGUCGGAGAGACCAUAGACAGCCAAUUCUCCUUCUCGUCUUAGUAGCUUUCUUAUUGCUGGCCAUGUUUCAU